This 502-nucleotide ribosomal RNA is filed under the name uncultured bacterium. Its description in RNAcentral is "partial 16S ribosomal RNA". It matches the Rfam family "Bacterial small subunit ribosomal RNA", at positions 28 to 507 of the family's 1533-position model. The record is from RNAcentral.
GACGAACGCUGGCGGCGUGCCUAAUACAUGCAAGUCGAACGAACCGCGACUAAGUGCUUGCACUAAGUCAAGGAGAGUGGCGAACGGGUGAGUAACACGUGGGUAACCUACCUCAUAGUGGGGGAUAACAGUCGGAAACGACUGCUAAUACCGCAUAGGACAUAGGAUCACAUGAUCCAGUGAGGAAAGGUGGCGCAAGCUAUCGCUAAGAGAUGGACCCGCGGUGCAUUAGCUAGUUGGUAGGGUAAAGGCCUACCAAGGCGAUGAUGCAUAGCCGACCUGAGAGGGUGAUCGGCCACAUUGGGACUGAGACACGGCCCACACUCCUACGGGAGGCAGCAGUGGGGAAUCUUCCGCAAUGGACGCAAGUCUGACGGAGCAACGCCGCGUGAGUGAAGAAGGUCUUCGGGUCGUAAAGCUCUGUUGUUAGAGAAGAACAGCGCAUAGAGUAACUGCUAUGCGUGUGACGGUAUCUACACAGAAAGCCACGGCUAACUACGUG